RNAcentral lists this ribosomal RNA (253 nucleotides) under uncultured bacterium. Its description in RNAcentral is "partial 16S ribosomal RNA". It matches the Rfam family "Bacterial small subunit ribosomal RNA", at positions 524 to 776 of the family's 1533-position model. The record is from RNAcentral.
UACGUAGGUGGCUAGCGUUGUCCGGAUUUACUGGGCGUAAAGCGCGCGCAGGCGGUCGUUCAAGUCGAGUGUGAAAGCCCCCGGCUCAACUGGGGAGGGUCACUCGAUACUGAUCGACUUGAAGGCAGAAGAGGGAAGCGGAAUUCCCGGUGUAGUGGUGAAAUGCGUAGAUAUUGGGAGGAACACCAGUGGCGAAGGCGGCUCACUGGACCGGUACUGACGCUGAUGCGCGAAAGCGUGGGGAGCAAACAGG